This 419-nucleotide long non-coding RNA is filed under the name Anas platyrhynchos platyrhynchos (common mallard). RNAcentral describes it as "lncRNA (ENSAPLG00000022822.1)". Lineage: Eukaryota; Metazoa; Chordata; Aves; Anseriformes; Anatidae. The record is from RNAcentral.
AAAAAAAGCUGUCUUCAAGACCUAUGUUUUCUGGUUCUGUGUCUGCUGCUGGUUAGAACUGGUCUUACAAUUUUAUCUUCUACAAACUACUGGCUCGUCCAUCUGGAGUAAAAUCUGGAGUAUCUUACUUCUGCCCUUGACAGGAAUAGACUGCACAGGAGGUUCUUAACCGGCAGCCAAAAUAUGGGAUCGCAUGUUUUUGUAAGGUGUUUCAACUUCUACUCAGUCCCAGCUUUGCUGAUGAUAUCUAUAUCUUAAAAAGUGAAGAGGUUUUUGAGUCUUUAUGACGUCACUGGGAUGUUAAUUUCAAGCUGGAUCUGGACAUUUGGGAAGAUUCUUGUUUUAUCACAGAAGGUCUGUUGACUCUUGCUUUUGUUUUUGUUUUGAAGUAAAAUAAAAACUCUGUUGAAAAAUCCCCC